This 492-nucleotide ribosomal RNA is filed under the name uncultured bacterium. Its description in RNAcentral is "partial 16S ribosomal RNA". It matches the Rfam family "Bacterial small subunit ribosomal RNA", at positions 29 to 507 of the family's 1533-position model. The record is from RNAcentral.
AGUGAACGCUGGCGGUAGGCCUAACACAUGCAAGUCGAACGGCAGCACAGUAAGAGCUUGCUCUUACGGGUGGCGAGUGGCGGACGGGUGAGGAAUACAUCGGAAUCUACUUUUUCGUGGGGGAUAACGUAGGGAAACUUACGCUAAUACCGCAUACGACCUACGGGUGAAAGCAGGGGAUCUUCGGACCUUGCGCGAUUGAAUGAGCCGAUGUCGAAUUAGCUAGAUGGCGGGGUAAAGGCCCACCAAGGCGACGAUCCGUAGCUGGUCUGAGAGGAUGAUCAGCCACACUGGAACUGAGACACGGUCCAGACUCCUACGGGAGGCAGCAGUGGGGAAUAUUGGACAAUGGGCGCAAGCCUGAUCCAGCCAUACCGCGUGGGUGAAGAAGGCCUUCGGGUUGUAAAGCCCUUUUGUUGGGAAAGAAAAGCAGCAGGUUAAUACCACGCUGUUCUGACGGUACCCAAAGAAUAAGCACCGGCUAACUUCGUG